UGGUAAUGCCGGAUGCUCCAGUUGAUCGCAUGGUCUUCUGGGAAAGCCUUUGCGGCAUGGGAUGGGGUCGCGUCCUAUCAGCUUGAUGGCGGGGUAACGGCCCACCAUGGCUUCGACGGGUAGCCGGCCUGAGAGGGCGACCGGCCACAUUGGGACUGAGAUACGGCCCAGACUCCUACGGGAGGCAGCAGUGGGGAAUAUUGCACAAUGGGCGCAAGCCUGAUGCAGCGACGCCGCGUGAGGGAUGGAGGCCUUCGGGUUGUAAACCUCUUUUGUUAGGGAGCAAGGCAUUUUGUGUUGAGUGUACCUUUCGAAUAAGCACCGGCUAACUACGUGCCAGCAGCCGCGGUAAUACGUAGGGUGCAAGCGUUAUCCGGAAUUAUUGGGCGUAAAGGGCUCGUAGGCGGUUCGUCGCGUCCGGUGUGAAAGUCCAUCGCUUAACGGUGGAUCCGCGCCGGGUACGGGCGGGCUUGAGUGCGGUAGGGGAGACUGGAAUUCCCGGUGUAACGGUGGAAUGUGUAGAUAUCGGAA
Molecule: ribosomal RNA, 531 nt
Filed under: Bifidobacterium breve
Lineage: Bacteria; Bacillati; Actinomycetota; Actinomycetes; Bifidobacteriales; Bifidobacteriaceae
Description: bacterial SSU rRNA
Rfam family: Bacterial small subunit ribosomal RNA
Source: RNAcentral